This 748-nucleotide long non-coding RNA is filed under the name Homo sapiens (human). RNAcentral's name for it is "non-protein coding lnc-RSBN1-5:1". Lineage: Eukaryota; Metazoa; Chordata; Mammalia; Primates; Hominidae. The record is from RNAcentral.
AUGGCAGAUGAUACCUUGGGUUGGGAGGGGUCCUGGAAGUGGACUCUUCCACAGUGGCAUCAGGGGUAGGGGUCACAGUGGUGGUUAGGACCAGAGCUGAGGUCACAGAGCUCCUGGAGGCAAGAUUAAGGACAAAGAGUGGCUCCCCAUCACCAAGUUGGGCCAUCUGGUCAAGGACAUGAAGAUCAAGUCCCUGGAGGAGAUCUGCCUCUUCUCUGUGCAUCAAGGACCAGGUUCAAGGCAUUUGUCACCAUUGAGGACUACAACGGCUAUGUUGGUCUGGGUGUUAGUGCUCCAAGGAGGUAGCCAGCACCAUCCAUGGGGCUAUAAUCAUGGUCAAGCUCUUUAUCCUCCCUGUGUGAGGAGACUACUGGGGGAACAAGAUUAGCAAGCCUCACACUCACACUACCUACCCUUGCAAGGUGACUGGCAGCCUGCAUCUCUGUGCUGGUGGCCUCAUCCCUGCCUCCAGGGGCGUUGGUACUGUCUUGGCCCCUGUGCCCAGGAACCUGCUGCUGAUGGUGGUUACCCACCACUGCUGCACUUUGACUGGGGACUGCGCUGCUACCCUGGCCAAUUUUGCCAAGGGCACCUUUGAUGCCAUCUCCAAGACCUACAGCUAUUUCACCCCCAACCUCUGGUAAGAGACAUGUUCACCAAGUCUCCCUAUCAGGAAUUUAGUGACCAUGGCCUAAAGACCCAUACCAGACUCUCCAUGUAGAGGACCCAAGCUCUAGCUAUGGCCACC